CAAAUACUCUCCCUCCGUCCGGAAAUACUUAUCGUAAAAAUGGAUACAAAUAGAUGUAUCUAUAACUAAAAUACAUCUAGAUACAUCCAUCCCUCGGACAAGUAUUUCCGGACGAAGGGAGUAGUAC
Non-coding RNA from Triticum aestivum (bread wheat), 127 nucleotides. NCBI's taxonomy places the organism in Eukaryota, Viridiplantae, Streptophyta, Magnoliopsida, Poales, Poaceae. The record is from Rfam.